This 402-nucleotide ribosomal RNA is filed under the name Gonocephalus chamaeleontinus (chameleon forest dragon). RNAcentral describes it as "16S ribosomal RNA". It matches the Rfam family "Bacterial large subunit ribosomal RNA", at positions 1970 to 2594 of the family's 2925-position model. Lineage: Eukaryota; Metazoa; Chordata; Lepidosauria; Squamata; Agamidae. The record is from RNAcentral.
UGUCCUCUAAAUAAGGACCCGUAUGAAAGGCAACAUGAGAAAGAAGCUGUCUCUUAAGGUCGACCAAUGAACCUGAUCUACCUGUACAAAAGCAGGCAUGUAAAAACAAGACAAAAAGACCCUGUGAAACUUCAAAUGUCCAUCAACAAAAUGAUAAAAACAUUUUCGGUUGGGGCAACCAAGGAGAAACACAAACCUCACCAGCAGUUACUAGGCAAACAAGCCAACUAACAUAGUUUUAGACCCAGCACCGCUGAUUAAAGAGCCAAGCUACUCCAGGGAUAACAGCGCCACAUUCUUGAAGAGUCCAUAUCAACAAGAAUACCUACGACCUCGAUGUUGGAUUAGGGUAUCCUGAUGGCGCAAAAGCUAUCAACGGUUCGUUUGUUCAACGAUUAAAAC